Molecule: long non-coding RNA, 155 nt
Organism: Juglans microcarpa x Juglans regia
Lineage: Eukaryota; Viridiplantae; Streptophyta; Magnoliopsida; Fagales; Juglandaceae
Exons: 3
Source: RefSeq, a predicted model, not a curated record
UUGAAAGGGCCUCAAAAGCUUCUGAAAACCAGAGAAAAUCAAAUCAGAUGAGAGGUCUGAACAAGGGAUUGUCAAAGAUAAUGGCUUGCAGGUAUGAGCAUUAUUUAAAAAGAAAAUUACAAAUAAAACCAAGAAUAAAGGGUGAUAAACAGAAA